GAUGAACGCUGGCGGCGUGCCUAAUACAUGCAAGUCGAGCGAACAGACGAGGAGCUUUCUCCUCUGACUUUAUCGGCGGACGGGUGAUUAACACGUGGAUAACCUACCUAUACGACUGGGAUAACUUCGGGAAACCGUAGCUAAUACCGGAUAAUAUAUUGAACCUCAUGGUUCAAUAGUGAAAGACGGUUUUGCUUUCACUUAUAGCUUGAUCCGCGCCGCAUUAGCUAGUUGGUAAGGUAACGGCUUACCAAGGCAACGAUGCGUAGCCGACCUGAGAGGGUGAUCGGCCACACUGGAACUGAGACACGGUCCAGACUCCUACGGGAGGCAGCAGUAGGGAAUCUUCCGCAAUGGGCGAAAGCCUGACGGAGCAACGCCGCGUGAGUGAUGAAGGUCUUCGGAUCGUAAAACUCUGUUAUUAGGGAAGAACAAAUGUGUAAGUAACUAUGCACGUCUUGACGGUACCUAAUCAGAAAGCCACGGCUAACUACGUG
Molecule: ribosomal RNA, 497 nt
Filed under: uncultured bacterium
Lineage: Bacteria
Description: partial 16S ribosomal RNA
Rfam family: Bacterial small subunit ribosomal RNA
Source: RNAcentral